Molecule: long non-coding RNA, 253 nt
Organism: Teleopsis dalmanni
Lineage: Eukaryota; Metazoa; Arthropoda; Insecta; Diptera; Diopsidae
Exons: 2
Source: RefSeq, a predicted model, not a curated record
UUCAGUUACUCAUAUAGUUAAACUUGCAAUGAGUUUAUUUGAUUCUACAAAUGAAAAUAUAAGGCAAGUUAUAAUAAAUUUAAAGCUUGGAAGAUUAAUUAAUACAGCAAUAGCGAAAACCAAUUAAAUGAAUUCGAACACGAAGCCAAUUAACGAAUUAACGAUCGUCAUUAGUUUAAUAUUAAAACACAGUUGACGUUAUUCAUGGCGUUAUCAAAUAAGGAUCAAAUAUGGUAUUGGCGAAGACUAAGAG